AUGCAGUCGAACGAUGAACCACUUCGGUGGGGAUUAGUGGCGAACGGGUGAGUAACACGUGGGCAAUCUGCCCUUCACUCUGGGACAAGCCCUGGAAACGGGGUCUAAUACCGGAUACGACACUCUCGGGCAUCCGAUGAGUGUGGAAAGCUCCGGCGGUGAAGGAUGAGCCCGCGGCCUAUCAGCUUGUUGGUGAGGUAACGGCUCACCAAGGCGACGACGGGUAGCCGGCCUGAGAGGGCGACCGGCCACACUGGGACUGAGACACGGCCCAGACUCCUACGGGAGGCAGCAGUGGGGAAUAUUGCACAAUGGGCGAAAGCCUGAUGCAGCGACGCCGCGUGAGGGAUGACGGCCUUCGGGUUGUAAACCUCUUUCAGCAGGGAAGAAGCGAAAGUGACGGUACCUGCAGAAGAAGCGCCGGCUAACUACGUGCCAGCAGCCGCGGUAAUACGUAGGGCGCGAGCGUUGUCCGGAAUUAUUGGGCGUAAAGAGCUCGUAGGCGGUCUGUCGCGUCGGAUGUGAAAGCCCGGGGCUUAACCCCGGGUCUGCAUUCGAUACGGGCAGACUAGAGUGUGGUAGGGGAGAUCGGAAUUCCUGGUGUAGCGGUGAAAUGCGCAGAUAUCAGGAGGAACACCGGUGGCGAAGGCGGAUCUCUGGGCCAUUACUGACGCUGAGGAGCGAAAGCGUGGGGAGCGAACAGGAUUAGAUACCCUGGUAGUCCACGCCGUAAACGGUGGGAACUAGGUGUUGGCGACAUUCCACGUCGUCGGUGCCGCAGCUAACGCAUUAAGUUCCCCGCCUGGGGAGUACGGCCGCAAGGCUARAACUCAWAGGAAUUGACGGGGGCCCGCACAAGCAGCGGAGCAUGUGGCUUAAUUCGACGCAACGCGAAGAACCUUACCAAGGCUUGACAUACACCGGAAACGGCCAGAGAUGGUCGCCCCCUUGUGGUCGGUGUACAGGUGGUGCAUGGCUGUCGUCAGCUCGUGUCGUGAGAUGUUGGGUUAAGUCCCGCAACGAGCGCAACCCUUGUUCUGUGUUGCCAGCAUGCCCUUCGGGGUGAUGGGGACUCACAGGAGACUGCCGGGGUCAACUCGGAGGAAGGUGGGGACGACGUCAAGUCAUCAUGCCCCUUAUGUCUUGGGCUGCACACGUGCUACAAUGGCAGGUACAAUGAGCUGCGAAGCCGUGAGGCGGAGCGAAUCUCAAAAAGCCUGUCUCAGUUCGGAUUGGGGUCUGCAACUCGACCCCAUGAAGUCGGAGUUGCUAGUAAUCGCAGAUCAGCAUUGCUGCGGUGAAUACGUUCCCGGGCCUUGUACACACCGCCCGUCACGUCACGAAAGUCGGUAACACCCGAAGCCGGUGGCCCAACCCGCAAGGGAGGG
RNAcentral lists this ribosomal RNA (1388 nucleotides) under Streptomyces scabiei. RNAcentral's name for it is "bacterial SSU rRNA". The record is from RNAcentral. Lineage: Bacteria; Bacillati; Actinomycetota; Actinomycetes; Kitasatosporales; Streptomycetaceae.